Molecule: ribosomal RNA, 386 nt
Filed under: uncultured bacterium
Lineage: Bacteria
Description: bacterial SSU rRNA
Rfam family: Bacterial small subunit ribosomal RNA
Source: RNAcentral
GACGAACGCUGGCGGCGUGCUUAACACAUGCAAGUCGAACGGUGACGGAGAGCUUGCUCUCCUGAUCAGUGGCGAACGGGUGAGUAACACGUGGGCAACCUGCCCAGACUUCGGGAUAACGCUUCGAAAGAGGUGCUAAUACCGGAUACGAGCUCCUUGGGCAUCCUUGGAGUUGGAAAGUUUUCGGUCUGGGAUGGGCCCGCGGCCUAUCAGCUAGUUGGUGAGGUAACGGCUCACCAAGGCGACGACGGGUAGCCGGCCUGAGAGGGCGACCGGCCACACUGGGACUGAGACACGGCCCAGACUCCUACGGGAGGCAGCAGUGGGGAAUAUUGCCCAAUGGGCGAAAGCCUGACGCAGCAACGCCGACGUGAGGGAUGACGGCC